Molecule: long non-coding RNA, 3038 nt
Organism: Gracilinanus agilis (Agile Gracile Mouse Opossum)
Lineage: Eukaryota; Metazoa; Chordata; Mammalia; Didelphimorphia; Didelphidae
Exons: 2
Source: RefSeq, a predicted model, not a curated record
UUAAACCUUUGUCAGAGAGUUUUGUUAUAAAAAUGUUCUCCCAGUUUGUUGCUUUCCUUCUCAUUUUUGAUGCAUUGGUUUCGUUUGUACAAAAACUCAUCUUUCAUUUUCAACAAAAACCAGUAAUGUUGCAAUUUGCUCUCAUAGCAUCAUCUAGCAAAACCAUGAUCUAACCAAACCCUGAUCCUUGACUUUCUAUCUUACAAUUUUCAUCAUUUUUUAAGCUCUAAAGGUUUUGAUGGGUGAAGACUUUCUUUACUGCUCUGAUAUCCAUAUUUUUCUCAGUGUCACCAGGAGUCAGGCCUGAACCAUUUUCCCUAUAACCUACCUGCCGAUAGUCCCUUUCUCAGAAAGAUAUGCAGUCCAGCCAAAUAAAUGCAGCCAGGGGCCAUCCCCCACCAUAUACUGAAUGCUUCUCGCCGCUGGGGCCACCAGGGAGUGGUAUGUUUCAUCCUCGAUUUUUCCAGAUUUGUGGCAUAAGCCACACCGUUUUGGUCAGAAUCCUAAAGCUGUUUUCUCUGUGAUGCCUCCAUGGUAUAAAUGGUUCCACAUUUGGGCACUUGACGCUGCCUCAGUUCAUACAAGUGCUCAGGUUGUCUUCCUCCUUCUUACAGCACGCUAGCAUCCUGGUUACAUACCAAAUGUGUUUAACUGUUUUACAGCAGGAAGACGCCCCUUACUUUCCAAUGGUGGGUGCUAGAAAUGUUUCUGUGAGGUGGGGGUCAUUGUAAUCUCUACCACUUUGGUGGGUCUGGAAGAGAAACCCCAAAGUCCUGCUCAUCUGCAUUUCUCUAGUUAUUAGUGACUCUUUCACUGUUCUUUGACCGCCCGUCUACUGGAGAACCGAUUCCUCUCGAGUUUUUUUCUGUUUCUAGAAGCUGAGGCUUGGAUCAGAGAAACUCGGCCCAAAGGUUUUUCCUAUUCACUUGUUCCUCUUCUAAUUUUACACUAUUAUAUUCGCUUGUGCAGAAACGUCUAAAAUCUACCUUUGGUCAAAAUUGUCCUUUUUACCUCGCCUGUUCUUUUUCUGUCUCCUCUUCAAUCGCGGCCCUGGGUCAUCUCUGCCAUCCCAGACCUCCUCAAUGGCGUCGCGUGCCCUCCUUUGGCACCGAUUUUGGUGUUGGUCUAAUACUCCUUCCCCACGUGUUUGCUGCCAGGGCCAUUUUGGCCUCUGGAGACUUUUCUGUCCUCCACUGUCUUGGGGACUAGAUGCGAGUCCAUGGGCAGCUCAGGAGUCAUUGGGACUUUGCUGAACUGUCUAGCCAAGGCCCAGGCCGCCUGGUGGUCAGUGCCAGCUCAGGACUCCCUCAGUCCUGUAUUCUCCAUGUGGGGUAAAACCUGGUUAAUUGAGGUUAAAUUGUUCUCUUGGAGUGAUUCGGGGUGGAGGCAUUUCUCGUUUUCAUCCUGUGACCCCUUGACCAUUGGGUGAUGACUGGCUGCUCGAGAUGGGGUAGAGUCUCUGGCCUCUGGCCCAUGCUGGGGUGGCUCUUCCUGGCUCUCACAGAGCGACCCUAUUUUCCCCCCUCCAUCCCCGUUUUUGAUGCCUCGGAAUGGUCCUAGUGGCUGGCUUUUGGCCUGGCUGGUGCCCAUGUUGGCUUUGCCCUCUGGUGCAUCUUGUCUGUGGUCCUCCGUGGCCUCACACUGUGCCAUCUGGAUGGUUGCUUCGUGAUGGAGAUCCAGCGAUGCUGAGCUCACUCUGGGGGCUGUUUAUCUCCCGCCUGUCCUCCAUCUCUUGCUCCUUCCAAUGAAUUCCUUUGUCUCCUUCCAUAAAGUGAGCUGAGCUGGCAUGCUGCGGCACAAGACGUGGCACAGAAUCUCACUGGCUGGCCUUUCAGCACGUGGGGCCGGGGAUCCCCUCUGAUACCCCCUCUUUGGCCUUGGGGCCUCUCCUUUCUCCUCUUCCUCACUCCCCUCCCUCAGCAUGGCAGGACGUGAUGGCAGCCUCCCGAGAGUCCCCAGGUUUGCUGACCGCCCGGCUCACUCUGGCCUCGUCCGGUGGCUGGAGUUGGUCGUCCAUCUAAUCCUUCUCAGGGAAGGGAAGGGAACCUGGACAGAAUGGAAGAGGGUGGCCGUCCCUGCUCAGGCUUUGCUGCUGGAUGCUGAUCCCUUCAGACUGUGGGAGUUGCCUGCCAGCACCCCUCAGCCCUAGGGGGGUCCAUCAGGGGGAUCCCCCACCCUGUCUCUGGGACGGAGGCCGUACCAGGCCCCCACCUUCCUUCUCUCGGACCAUGAUGCUCCCCGGCCGGGGAUACAUGAUGUGAAAGCGACCGGAGGUGAGAGCAUCCCUCAUCCCAUGUGGAAGCCACAGAGCCUUCGGGGAAGCAGUGAGUGUGGCAGACAGCGGGCAUGGGCAGUGGCAUCGGGAGAGGGCUCUGGAGUGGGGUGCCUAUGCGUGACUUCAGGGGCAGCCAAGACUCAGAGGGCCCGAGUUCAAAUCCUGCUCUGAAACUUACCACUGUAGGGCCUGGGGCAAAGCCUUUAGCCUCUUUCCUAAACUGUAAAAUGAGGGAAUGUGCCUCGAUCAUCUCUAGAAGGCUUCUUCCAGCCCUACGGCCGUCCUGUGGCCUGACCAGGAGUCCCAGGGCUGCCCCGACCAGGGCAUUCUCACUUGCCAGGGCCCCGUGGCUGGAUGUUUCUCGGGGUUGGGCAGGGGGGUGAGGAUAGCAGCCGGGGCACAGUCGGCAUCUGCCUGCCACAGAGGUCUCUCGUGUGGACGGUGUAAUAGAGGAGUGUCGGGGAAGAGUGGACCUAAGAAGAGGGUGGCGGCCCCUCUGGGAGUCCUAAUAAGGGCCCCUCUGCACCCCAAGGGGCCUCUGGGCCCAGAAAGCACGAGGCAGGUGCUCUGAGGAGGCCAGGGUGGCCCCCGGGGGCUGUUUCCAAGGCCAGGCCUCUGGGAGCCCCCACCUUCCUUCCUAGGGUUCAACAAGCUUAAAAGAAAAGGAGGAGCAGCGCCAGGCAGGCUGGGUAAGACUCCCGGGCAUGUGGGGAAGAAGGGAGAGGAGGAGGGCACCAGGCAGGGGGGCCACAGCAGAGAGGCU